Molecule: non-coding RNA, 79 nt
Organism: Cajanus cajan (pigeon pea)
Lineage: Eukaryota; Viridiplantae; Streptophyta; Magnoliopsida; Fabales; Fabaceae
Source: Rfam
GGACUUGAUGACAACUUUAUGACACCCAGUCUUACGUGCUCAUUUGGGGUACCCUGGUGAUAGAUUAUUUGUCUGAUCC